CGCGCGGUCGCCCAAAGCGAGAGGCAGCCCUGCAAGGGCACCAGUGCCGGUUCAAGUCCGGCCCGCGCAC
This 70-nucleotide transfer RNA is filed under the name Bradyrhizobium sp. RNAcentral's name for it is "tRNA-Cys". The record is from RNAcentral. Lineage: Bacteria; Pseudomonadati; Pseudomonadota; Alphaproteobacteria; Hyphomicrobiales; Nitrobacteraceae.